This 64-nucleotide transfer RNA is filed under the name Branchinella kugenumaensis. RNAcentral describes it as "tRNA-Leu". It matches the Rfam family "tRNA". From Rfam's summary of the family: Transfer RNA (tRNA) molecules are approximately 80 nucleotides in length. Their secondary structure includes four short double-helical elements and three loops (D, anti-codon, and T loops). The record is from RNAcentral. Lineage: Eukaryota; Metazoa; Arthropoda; Branchiopoda; Anostraca; Thamnocephalidae.
UUUAAAGUGGCAGAAGUUUUAUGCAAUGGAUUUAAGCUCCAUAGAUGGGGGAUCCCCUUUAAAA